RNAcentral lists this ribosomal RNA (497 nucleotides) under uncultured bacterium. RNAcentral describes it as "partial 16S ribosomal RNA". It matches the Rfam family "Bacterial small subunit ribosomal RNA", at positions 28 to 507 of the family's 1533-position model. The record is from RNAcentral.
GAUGAACGCUGGCGGCGUGCCUAAUACAUGCAAGUAGAACGCUGAAGCUUGGUGCUUGCACCGAGCGGAUGAGUUGCGAACGGGUGAGUAACGCGUAGGUAACCUGCCUCUUAGCGGGGGAUAACUAUUGGAAACGAUAGCUAAUACCGCAUAAAAGUCGAUAUCGCAUGAUAUUGAUUUGAAAGGUGCAAAUGCAACACUAAGAGAUGGACCUGCGUUGUAUUAGCUAGUUGGUGAGGUAACGGCUCACCAAGGCGACGAUACAUAGCCGACCUGAGAGGGUGAUCGGCCACACUGGGACUGAGACACGGCCCAGACUCCUACGGGAGGCAGCAGUAGGGAAUCUUCGGCAAUGGGGGCAACCCUGACCGAGCAACGCCGCGUGAGUGAAGAAGGUUUUCGGAUCGUAAAGCUCUGUUGUAAGAGAAGAACGAGUGUGAGAGUGGAAAGUUCACACUGUGACGGUAACUUACCAGAAAGGGACGGCUAACUACGUG